Molecule: long non-coding RNA, 1479 nt
Organism: Pungitius pungitius (ninespine stickleback)
Lineage: Eukaryota; Metazoa; Chordata; Actinopteri; Perciformes; Gasterosteidae
Exons: 3
Source: RefSeq, a predicted model, not a curated record
UUUGUUACAAAAGUUAAAUCUAUGUUAUACGUUUUAUUUUGAAAACCGGAAAUUGUCAGGUGACAGGAACCAGGAAGUGAGUCGGCUCAGAACUGCCUUUUGUAGUAGUUGUUUUUUCUCUAUCCAGUUGAGUCUGCCUGCAUUCUAUUCCUUUUGAUAGCAUCGUUGUUUUACUCUAUCCCUAAUGUCAAUAAACCUGUGGACAACGAAGGACCGUCUUCAGAGUGGUGAUGUGGGGAAAGAGUUCAUCUAACUGCCAAGGUGUAUCGGAGCACAUAUACCGAGGGCGGCAUAAGUGAUGAAGAAAGAAGUUAAAGUACAACAGAUAAAAACACAGGGAAACAUUUAAUAUGCUGAAGCUGUUAAAAGAGUGGAAAAGGAAAAGAAGAAUCAGAGCGAAGAAGUUCAAAAAAGGGUAGUACGAGAAGAUCAUCAAGAAAAGAAGGAGAAAUGGGAAGAGCAGAAGAAAAUAGUGACAUUCAUAGCAGGGGUGAUAAAUGUGUGAUAGGGUCGGCCCAAGUAGGCGUGUAUUGGCUGGCACCCACAGGUGCACCAGAUGAGGACUAAUGAGCCCAUAACAUCCGGCUUGAUAAACCAGGAAAUGACCUCGGGAAUUGUUUGAGUUUCAUGUUGCCGUCGCUGGUUGGCACGCUAUUUGAGGCUGCCAAACUAUACAUUGGGCAUUAGGAGCCCUUGGUUUGUCUGACUGUGGCGGCGCGAGACCCAUAGACGCAUAGAGAUGUAAAGUCUUUUCACUGGAAUUAACAAAGGACGACCAGGUAGGCAAUUCAGGCAUGGUUUUAAGUGCAUUCACCUGGGCAAAGCGACUGUGACGUGGGCCAUAUUAUUAGUUGGUCAGAUUACUAUACGUGUAAUGUAAUCAUACUGCCCUAUUUUAAUUAGUUAAUUUUUAUUCUAGUUAUUCUCAAUUUUGUGAGUAGUAGAGGAAUGAUGUACUGGGAAAAUGUGCAAUAUCUGCUAAUAUGAACAAUUUGUGUUAUAGAUCUACAAACGAUCAUCAUUCGUAGCCGGACCACUGUUUUCCUCGUUUCGUUUUGUUUCUUUUCUCUUUGGCAUACUAAGCAGUUAAAGCCACGUGUUGUGUACUGUUUGUUGAUGUCUGUUCUCCUUGUGGGCCCAACUCUGGUAUAGCUCUACUGUAAGAAUAUAGCGGGCAUUUCUCUGCCCUUGCAACGCUUACAGUGUAAACACUCUUAAUGAUUGAGUUUUGAUAUAAUUUGUUUCUUUUUUGUGAUUUUGCUUGAUGUCAUCGUGUGACCUAAUUUAGGUGUUUUAACGUUUGCAGUGUUCACUAGCAUGUGCAUGAGUAUAUCAGAAAUCACGCAUAGCUGAUUUGUCCGUUGUAAAUUCAGCAGUACAACCAAUUACUUGGGUGGGUUCUCUGUGCCUAUGUUGCUCAUUGUGUUUUCUAGUAUUUUGUCAUGAUGUAUAGUAUAUUAAUUGAUCUAUGCUUUGUUA